AUUUUUAUUCUUAUUUGAGGUUUUUUACCUAUACAUAUACACAUUGUUGCUGUUAAAGUUUUAUUUUUCCAUUUUUGUUUUUUGGUUUUUUUGUUUGUAAAUGCCAGCCGUUCUCUACAAUUUGUUAGAAUUAAACGAUGAAUGGAAAACUGGAAAUGAUCCAAAAUUACUUGGAGAAAAACGUUAUUUUUGUUGUUAUAUUUCUUUCCAGCAAAGCAAAGAAUAUGAUUGUAUUUUAUUCUGUAUUAUUUCUAUUGUUAUUUUGGGUGUCACGCAUCCACCGAGCUCUAGGGUGGAGUCGGACUCAAUCUCCCAGAAUCCUCUGGGAGAUCACCUGACCCCUCACGUGACUCCGCGCUCCUAUCAGCGCUCUAGAGCUCCCGAAUACUGAUGGGAAGCACCUGUGUUAUUUGUCAUAUGACAUACUUAGUUUCGUAUUUAAGCCCGGGCUUUAGCUCAGAAGUUUCGAGAACAUCACUGGUAGUGCCGGAGGUCAGCAGGGGUGAGAGGGCGAGUCUGCUGAGGACUUCAGCGUCGCCUGUCGUGCUGAGUCAUGAAGUCCUGCAUGACUGAAUUCCCUGCUGUCUGUGUCUUACUGAUCAUUAUGUUCACUGGUGUGUCUCACUCAACUGUACCCUCAGUGAAGGUGAAGCGUCAUAGCUCUGCUGCUCUGCCCUGCUCUGAGAGAUGUUCUGGUUCAGUUAAAUGGAGCCUGAUUCAUAGGCCUGGUGAUGUUCUGGGUCAGUGUGAUCCAGAGUCAUGCUGGCUGAAAGAGGGAUAUCAGAUGUCCCAUGAUCAGUACCUCAAUGGGAAUCUGUCUCUCACCAUCACUGACGCUGAUUUCAAUAAGCGAGGCCUUUACACAUCUCAGUGUGAUGGUAGAGACCUCUGCAGUGUCCAGCUUCUGA
This is a long non-coding RNA of Colossoma macropomum (tambaqui), 908 nucleotides long. RefSeq lists it as uncharacterized. The transcript is spliced from 4 exons. Lineage: Eukaryota; Metazoa; Chordata; Actinopteri; Characiformes; Serrasalmidae. The record is from RefSeq and is a predicted model, not a curated record.